GACGAACGCUGGCGGCGUGCUUAACACAUGCAAGUCGAACGAAGUGGCGAACGGGUGAGUAACGCGUAAUCCACCUGCCCUUCAGAGGGGGACAACAGUUGGAAACGACUGCUAAUACCGCAUACUGAAGGAGGGGCUUGCGGCUGAUUAGCUAGUUGGAGGGGUAACGGCCCACCAAGGCGAGGAUAAGUAGCCGGUCUGAGAGGAUGAACGGCCACAUUGGGACUGAGACACGGCCCAGACUCCUACGGGAGGCAGCAGUGGGGAAUUUUGGGCAAUGGGCGAAAGCCUGAUCCAGACAUGCCGCGUGUCUGAAGAAGGCCUUCGGGUUGUAAAGGACUGUUGUCAGGGAAGCGGUACCUGAAGAAUAAGCACCGGCUAACUACGUGCCAGCAGCCGCGGUAAUAC
RNAcentral lists this ribosomal RNA (408 nucleotides) under uncultured bacterium. RNAcentral's name for it is "partial 16S ribosomal RNA". It matches the Rfam family "Bacterial small subunit ribosomal RNA", at positions 28 to 526 of the family's 1533-position model. The record is from RNAcentral.